RNAcentral lists this ribosomal RNA (497 nucleotides) under uncultured bacterium. RNAcentral describes it as "partial 16S ribosomal RNA". It matches the Rfam family "Bacterial small subunit ribosomal RNA", at positions 28 to 507 of the family's 1533-position model. The record is from RNAcentral.
GAUGAACGCUGGCGGCGUGCCUAAUACAUGCAGGUCGAGCGAACAGACGAGGAGCUUGCUCCUCUGACGUUAGCGGCGGACGGGUGAGUAACACGUGGAUAACCUACCUAUAAGACUGGGAUAACUUCGGGAAACCGGAGCUAAUACCGGAUAAUAUAUUGAACCGCAUGGUUCAAUAGUGAAAGACGGUUUUGCUGUCACUUAUAGAUGGAUCCGCGCCGCAUUAGCUAGUUGGUAAGGUAACGGCUUACCAAGGCAACGAUGCGUAGCCGACCUGAGAGGGUGAUCGGCCACACUGGAACUGGGACACGGUCCAGACUCCGACGGGAGGCAGCAGUAGGGAAUCUGCCGCAAUGGGCGAAAGCCUGACGGAGCAACGCCGCGUGAGUGAUGAAGGUCUUCGGAUCGUAAAACUCUGUUAUUAGGGAAGAACAAAUGUGUAAGUAACUAUGCACGUCUUGACGGUACCUAAUCAGAAAGCCACGGCUAACUACGUG